AAAUUUAAUAGCCGCAAGACGUGCUAAGGUAGCAUAAUCAUUUGCCUUUUAAUUGAAGGCUAGAACAAAAGAUUAAACAUUAUAACUAUUUUCUUAAAAAAAAAUAUUAAACUUUUCCUAAAUGUAAAAAGACAUUUAUAAUAUAGAUAGACGAUAAGACCCUAUUGAACUUAACUUUAGUUAAACUGGGGAAGUAUAUUAAUUAAUAUUUUAAUCUUAAUAUAUCUCAACAAAUCUAUUUUAAUUAAUUAAAUCAGUUACCAUAGGGAUAACAGCGUAAUUCACUUUACAAGUUCUUAUAAAAAUAUGAGAUUACGACCUCGAUGUUGAAUUAAUUUCCUAAAUUUCGCAAAAGAAAACAAAGGUGGUCUGUUCGACCAUUAAAUAAUUACGUGAUCUGAGUUAGAACCGGAGACAAUUAGGGGGUUUAGGACCUCGAUGUUGGAUCAGGACAUCCCGAUGGUGCAGCCGCUAUUAAAGGUUCGUUUGUUCAACGAUUAAAGUCCUACGUGAUCUGAGUUCAGACCGGAGA
RNAcentral lists this ribosomal RNA (532 nucleotides) under Phaeacius lancearius. RNAcentral describes it as "partial large subunit ribosomal RNA". It matches the Rfam family "Bacterial large subunit ribosomal RNA", at positions 1920 to 2622 of the family's 2925-position model. The record is from RNAcentral. Lineage: Eukaryota; Metazoa; Arthropoda; Arachnida; Araneae; Salticidae.